GAUGAACGCUGGCGGCGUGCCUAAUACAUGCAAGUCGAGCGAACAGAUGAGGAGCUUGCUCCUCUGACGUUAGCGGCGGACGGGUGAGUAACACGUGGAUAACCUACCUAUAAGACUGGGAUAACUUCGGGACACCGGAGCUAAUACCGGAUAAUAAAUUGAACCACAUGGUUCAAUAGUGAAAGACGGUUUUGCUGUCACUUAAAGAUGGAUCCGCGCCGCAUUAGCUAGUUGGUAAGGUAACAGCUUACCAAGGCAACGAUGCGUAGCCGACCUGAGAGGUGGACCGGCCACACUGGAACUGGGACACGGUCCAGACUCCUCCGGGAGGCAGCAGAAGGGAAUCUUCCGCAAUGGGCGAAAGCUUGACGGAGCAACGCCGCGUGAGUGAUGAAGGUCUUCGGAUCGUAAGACUCUUUUAUCAGGGAAGAACAAAUGUGUAAGUAACUAUGCACGUCUUGACGGUACCUAAUCAGAAAGCCACGGCUAACUACGUG
This 497-nucleotide ribosomal RNA is filed under the name uncultured bacterium. Its description in RNAcentral is "partial 16S ribosomal RNA". It matches the Rfam family "Bacterial small subunit ribosomal RNA", at positions 28 to 507 of the family's 1533-position model. The record is from RNAcentral.